Molecule: long non-coding RNA, 1089 nt
Organism: Acanthopagrus latus (yellowfin seabream)
Lineage: Eukaryota; Metazoa; Chordata; Actinopteri; Spariformes; Sparidae
Exons: 2
Source: RefSeq, a predicted model, not a curated record
AAGACGCUACUGGAUGGUGGCUAACAGACUGAAACACUCAUCAUUCAAUCAUGCUUCUCCAGAAUUGUAGGUACUCAGAAACGCAUUACACCCAGCAAAUUCUAAGAAAACACAGGUACGUGGCUGGGAGGGCUUAACAGUAAACAUUGCUGGCUUGUUUAAGGAAACUAAAAUGCCACACGCAAUCGUUAAACUUACUUCCCCAAUCGAGCUGGUGGAAAAAAACAAUUAAACUCAUUGUUUAGGCCUGAUGGAGGAUGCAUAUUGAGAAGUGAAGCAUCUUGUUUCCUUGUCAUCAGAGUGCCGAUCUGGUACUUCUGAGAAAGUGGCUAAAAGCUUUUGGACAUUUCAGUUAUCUUGAAAACCUGAGUUCACCUGACUGGUGUUAGAGAAUGUGGGGGAACUCCAACAGUAUCGCACAAGUCUGAGAACCAGUAAGAUUUAACAUGACAAUUAACAUUAGUUUUGUUCUCAUUCACACAUCUUGUCUGACUAGCCACAUGACAGUUUGUUUUGCAGGUGAAUGUCCCCAUGGAAACCGCAAGGAUGUGUUUUAUACUUCUUGACUACGAUGCCGACCCAAACGCAAGCAUCGCUGAUUCACCAUGGUUCCAUCUGUGAAGCUCUAAUGGGAAUUCUUUUUCUGGAUUGAUGAAGAAAACAAAUUCUGCGGCCAACAAAUUCUUGAUGUUAGUCUACAAACAUAUUUUCUAUUUAAAUGCGACGCUACAAUGUAAUUGUCAUUUGAAUUUUUUUUUUUUUAAAUUAUUUGUAUUAUUAUCUUAUAGCAUCUUCUAGGGUGCUAAUGUUACAAGUUUUCAAGUUUGGAGUAAAAACAAUAACUAUAUUACAACAAAUUUUUCACAGUUACAAGUUUUUUUGUGUUUUGUGUUUGCCUACAGCGCGGCUCAUGAUCGUGCAGCUCUCUCGUUCAGAUAGCCUGCCGGUUUGUGGAUGGUGGUAGAUGUGAAUGGAGGAUGAGAUAUUUAGUGGUGGGGCAAAAUGUAGGUUUCUUUGUAAACUGUUAAGUAAUAUGUGACAAUGCGAUUUUGUAAACAGUGCUAAAAAAAUAAAUCUCGACUGACUGAU